This 1443-nucleotide ribosomal RNA is filed under the name Triticum aestivum (bread wheat). RNAcentral's name for it is "partial small subunit ribosomal RNA". The record is from RNAcentral. Lineage: Eukaryota; Viridiplantae; Streptophyta; Magnoliopsida; Poales; Poaceae.
AUGGUGAAGAUCUGCUGCAUCGGAGCUGGCUAUGUCGGCGGCCCAACAAUGGCUGUCAUUGCCGUCAAGUGCCCAGCAAUUGAGGUUGUUGUUGUUGACAUCUCCAAGCCUCGCAUUGACGCUUGGAACAGCGACAAACUCCCGAUCUACGAGCCUGGCCUUGACGAGGUUGUCAAGGCGUGCAGGGGCAAGAACCUCUUCUUCAGCACUGAUGUCGAGAAGCACGUUGCUGAGGCCGACAUCAUCUUUGUCUCAGUGAACACCCCCACCAAGACCCGUGGUCUGGGAGCCGGCAAGGCUGCCGACCUCACCUACUGGGAGAGCGCUGCCCGUAUGAUCGCCGACGUGUCCAAGUCUGACAAGAUCGUCGUUGAGAAGUCCACUGUCCCUGUCAAGACCGCAGAGGCCAUCGAGAAGAUCUUGACCCACAACAGCAAGGGCAUCAACUACCAGAUCCUCUCCAACCCGGAGUUCCUGGCCGAGGGCACAGCUAUCGAGGACCUGUUCAAGCCUGACAGAGUGCUUAUCGGUGGCCGGGAGACCCCCGAGGGCAGGAAGGCGGUUCAGGCUCUCAAGGAGGUGUACGCCCACUGGGUUCCUGAGGAGAACAUCAUCACCACCAACCUGUGGUCUGCUGAGCUCUCCAAGCUCGCUGCCAACGCUUUCUUGGCCCAGAGGAUCUCCUCCGUGAAUGCCAUGUCCGCGCUCUGCGAAGCCACCGGCGCCAACGUGUCCGAGGUGUCUUACGCCAUCGGUAAGGAUUCCAGGAUCGGCCCCAAGUUCCUGAACGCCAGCGUUGGGUUUGGCGGGUCCUGUUUCCAGAAGGACAUCUUGAACCUGGUGUACAUCUGCGAGUGCAACGGCCUCCCGGAGGUGGCCAAUUACUGGAAGCAGGUGAUCAAGAUCAAUGACUACCAGAAGAGCAGGUUCGUCAACCGUGUCGUGUCCUCCAUGUUCAACACCGUCUCCGGCAAGAAGGUCGCCAUCCUCGGGUUUGCCUUCAAGAAGGACACCGGUGACACCAGGGAGACCCCGGCGAUCGACGUGUGCAAGGGCCUGCUGGGUGACAAGGCCCAUGUCAGCAUCUACGAUCCCGAGGUCACUGAGGACCAGAUCCAGCGGGACCUUGCCAUGAACAAGUUCGACUGGGACCACCCCAUGCACCUGCAGCCGGCGAGCCCAUCGGCUAUAAAGCAGGUGAGCGUGGUGUGGGACGCGUACGAGGCCACCAAGGGAGCCCACGCCGUGUGCAUCCUGACCGAGUGGAACCAGUUCAAGGAGCUGGACUACCAGAAGAUCUUCGACAACAUGCAGAAGCCGGCCUUCAUCUUCGACGGGCGCAAUGUCGUCGACGCCGAGAAGCUCAGGGGGAUCGGCUUCAUCGUCUACUCCAUCGGCAAGCCGCUCGAUGCGUGGCUCAAGGACAUGCCCGCGAUCGCCUAG